CGAAAUAAUCACGGGAACACACCCAUAGAAAAUAGCCUCCACUACCCUUGGACUAUUGACCUCAUACCCUUUAGCACAUAUACAAAACUUGCUAGUUUUCAUGUAUUCGAUAUAGUUUUUAUUGUUUUUGGAUUUUGGGAGUUUUUUGAAGAUUUUAAUUUCAGGAUCUUUGUUUUCCCAGUGGUGUAGGAGAAUCGGGCGGAGGUCUCCGUGCAUUCGGCCGGCGAAAAAGGCGAGGGUUGACCGUUUUGAAGGGGGUUGACCACCGAAUUGUUUCAAUGGAUUUUUUGAUGAUUGAAUCGUUGUUUCAGGUAAUGCAACGUCUUUUCCUAAUUCGAAUCCUUCGUUUUUGACAUCGGAAUUGCACAUUGCGCGAAUGCAAUUGUUCAUGUAUUUCUUUGUUUCAGAUGGGGCCUUAAAUAUCAUAAAAAUGUAAGCGAUUGUGUUAAAAGGGCAUUAUGAUAUCAAGGAAAGAGGAAUGGAAUGAGAAUUUCAUAGCUUAUGCUUACCCAAUCGUGACAUGCAACAAGGAAAUGAUCAGAUCCAGAAGUUCUAUUCCAGAAACUGUAUCUUCCAGAAAUUAAAUCAAGGUAUUUCUUCAAAUACUGAAUUAAGUUUUUGUGAGUAUGAGAAUCAACAACGUAUAAUUUUUCUUCCAACAUUCUUGAGCUAAAAGGUAAGUAGAAAAGAUGAGCUUCUUUUGGUUUUUUAGUGACGAAAUGUUUGCUUGCUUUCAUGUGUUUCAUAAACCAUCCUUCAGAUGCGUAUAUUCCUUUUAGCACUGCUUGUGGUUGAUGAAAUAUAGGCUUUUCUCCCUCCUUGUAUAUGUAUACCUUGAGUGUUUUUUCCAUUAAUUCAUAGCUCCUGAAUUUAAUAUUAAUAAUAAUAAUAAUAUGAUAAUUGUAAUAAUGCAUGUGCACUUGUUUUUUAUUCAAUGGAUGAAGUGUUAUAUGGGUAAUGAACUAAUGAUGUCUNNNNNNNNNNNNNNNNNNNNNNNNNNNNNNNNNNNNNNNNNNNNNNNNNNNNNNNNNNNNNNNNNNNNNNNNNNNNNNNNNNNNNNNNNNNNNNNUAGAUAUGACAAACAUAGAUAAUAGACUACAAAUCAAACCUUGAAACAUUAACAUUAAGGGAAAUGGAAAAAAUAAAUGACCGUUUUACCCUUAGAUUAAAAAUGAUGUGAUUUUUGGGUUUUGUAAAUUUUGGCUUGUGUGUACCUUUUAAAUGACCAUUUUACCCUUAUAUUAAGAAAUGACAAAAAUAAAUGACCAUUUUACACUUCGAUUAAAAAUUAAGUUGUAAAUUUUGGUGUUUUGUAAUUUUUGGGUUGUGUACCUUCUAAAUGACCAUUUUACCCUUAUAUUAAGAAAUUAAAGAUAUAAACAAGACUACAACUCAAACCUUGAAACAAUAACAUAAAGGGAAAUGGCAAAAAUAAAUGACCAUUUUACCCUUAUAUUAAGAAAUGACAAAAGUAGAUGGCCAUUUUACCCUUGGAUUAAAAACUUAGUUGUAAGUUAUGGGUUGUGUGUACCUUUUAAACCUUGAAACAUUAACAUAAAGAGAAGGAUCAAGUGUGAGAUCAUUUUCAAUGAAAGGAGCAUUCUCGAUCUGAAAUUUUGCAUCUAAUAAUUCUUGAUCAACUGCUGAAGACCAUCUUGGUUUCUAUAAAAACACAAAAAGACACCAUUUUUAAAAGCAACAAAUUCAUAUGAUUAUAAUUACAAGUUAAGAAAUAAAAAAUUCAAACCAUUGAACGAAAUGAAGCACGAUUAUGACCUAACAUCUCACGCAUCUCUGAAAUUGUCACUACUUCCCCCAUUGUUCCAUGAUCAUUACUUCCGUUAACUUGAGGACCUUCAUUUGCAGAUGAUGAUUUAUCAAAAUCAUGGAAAGAUUUUGAUGUAUCUAUGUCUAUUUUAGGAUCACUUUGUGUUGUAGUAUUCAAUGUUGUUGGUGAAGAUGGUGAAAUUGAUGGUGGAAGAAGAAUUGAAGGUAUACUAACAGGCUUUGUGUAAUUAGAUCCAUGAAAAUGAGUGAUGUUUUUAACAAUUUGAGGGAUUUGAGAUGAAUCUUUAGGUGGGAAGCUUUCAUUUUUGAGUUUUUGAGGACUGUUUGCAGAGAAUAAAGAUGAUAUAACAUCACCAUAUGGAAACUCUAAAUACUGGAACAUCAUGAAAACAGCAAAUACCACUGCUACAAGGUACACCAGUCUCUUGGUUUCCAUU
RNAcentral lists this long non-coding RNA (2225 nucleotides) under Lactuca sativa (garden lettuce). RNAcentral describes it as "long non-coding RNA (LSAT_LNC006303)". Lineage: Eukaryota; Viridiplantae; Streptophyta; Magnoliopsida; Asterales; Asteraceae. The record is from RNAcentral.